RNAcentral lists this long non-coding RNA (619 nucleotides) under Mustela putorius furo (domestic ferret). RNAcentral's name for it is "lncRNA (ENSMPUG00000031657.1)". The record is from RNAcentral. Lineage: Eukaryota; Metazoa; Chordata; Mammalia; Carnivora; Mustelidae.
CUCAUCCUGGCUUAGGCAUUUAUGAUUCUGGCUGAGCUUGUAAACUCAGAGGAUUAGAGGAUGGAGAAAGAGGGCAUGUCCUGCCUCAUGGGAGGAGAUAAAAGCCUCGGGGUACAAGAAAAAGGACAAGAUUACAGGAUCCCUUCCUGCCCAGCCUUACAGACUCUUGUUCAAGGACUCCUGCUUCACAGAUUCCAUUGUCUCUGUGCUCCAAAACAAUAAAGAAACGGAUUUUUGCAAAUCAUUUCUGGAACUUGAUUGUUUUUACACAGUGAACCUCAGCACUUGACCAAAGCAGAUUUCUCUUCCAUUUAGGUUAUUUCACCGUGAAAUGACUCCAUUCAGCAACAGUGUGUGAGAUGCCAUGCAAAGACACCUCCAUCCCCAUUGAUUGUCGGGAAAUGAGGAAGCAAAAGGAGGCGGCUCAAAAUGGAAUAUAAACUCUAUUUAAAAGAAUUUUCUGAAAAUCGGUGAUUGCAGAGGCUCUGAGCCAGGACAGCUGGGAGCAAGCCAUCAGAUUCCCCUUCUAAGGCACGGCUCUCUAUUGCUGUCAGCAGACCACGUAUUUCUUAGCAUCUCUGAAGAGAUGUUAAAUCAAUAAACUACCUAGAGGUUGCUG